UCGGUGUAAAUUCCAAUAAGUUUAAUUCAUGCAUCUGCUCUGACACGACGUCUUCUCCUUCUCUCUCUGACUCUGAAAGUCUCGAGUCUCUCUUAGAGAUCUUGAAUCAAAGCAUAUCUAAAACACUAUAGAGAGGAAGCUUCAGAAGAUAAAGAUAAAAGGAAGACACGAUUCUCUCCAAGAAACGGGUUCUCUCCACUUAACUAAAAGUCACGGGAAGACCUGCUUUGAGAAAUGGAUUCUCUCCUCUUACCCAUUAUCAGAUCCCUCUCCAAGUUCACAUCUUUCACCAUUUUGAUUUUGUUUCUGCUUUCUUGUACCAGGUUUACUUCAAUAGGUUUGCACAAUCUUUGAUUCUUCAGCCUAUAUUUCAGCUCUCUAAUUUUGAAGUGGUUUAUUGUUUAAUUUUUGUUAAUUAGUUUGGAUUAGUAGCAAGAUUAUAACUUCUUUUCCAUUUACAAUGCACAGAUUGGGUAAUAGUUUGUUUAUUUGAUUAAUUUCUACUUUCUUAUAUGCUGCUCUUUUUGCCAAUAAUGAGUUCUGGAAUGCAUUUUUUAAUUUCAAAGUAAAUUCUUUCGUUUUCUGGAUAUUUGCUUGAUUAAUAGGAGAAGAGAAAAUUGAGUCUAUUUACCGGUGCAUGAUUUUUUUGUCAUAUUAGAGAGGAGAUGAAAUAAACUGCAGAACAUAUAUUUCAUUCUAUUUUCAAGAGUUGCAGUUAUCUGGAAAGAUUAUGGCCUUAUAUACAAUCAUUUGUUAGUUGGGGUUCUUGACAUCUUGUGAUAUGUUUUCCACAGUUACUAAGCUUUGGUGAUUUCAUUUGGAAAUUAUAAAGCAUACAAAGUGGAUAGAGGAAGGUCUUCCUCCCAUUUCAGGGAUUUGGGGUUUGGAUGGGAAAGAUGAGUGAGUUUGGGAUGUCAUGACAAUUUCAUUAUUAUAUUUCUGAUGCGGAGUUAUAAGGAUUUAUGUUUUCUAAUCACAUGUUCAUACUUCUUUAGAUUUUUCCAAUUUAGGCUUCAAUUGAAGGAGUCCCCUUGUAUGUCGCACUGCUUAUCUGGUAGAGCAUUGGAUCCACAUGAUGAUAACAUUGUCGCUACAAGUUGUGAAUCCAUGAUCAAGUUUUGUGAUCUUCGGACAAUGAGGUACAAAUUUCCUAUCUUGUGAAGCAUUUGAGAUUAGAUAAUCUUGGUGACAUGCUGAAGCGUUGGAGCAAUGCAAUUUAGAGUAAGCAGUAAACCAUUUAAGUUUGCAUUUUUGCUUCAUUUGACUGCAAGAGAAUGAUGUGCAUUCCUUGAAGUACAUGUUUUUUUCCAUUUGCAAUUGUGGUCCUCUUCUUUUCUUUAUUGCCUAAUAGAAUUGCUCUGCUCUGUAAGCCCCACUUUUAUUAUUGUUAUUUUUUGCCAGCUCUUGGAGACUUCUGUGAACAUUAUUGUACACAUAGAAAUAUAUUAUUUCUAUAAUAAUAUACUGAGUGAUAUGAUAAGGUAUAUA
This is a long non-coding RNA of Tripterygium wilfordii, 1488 nucleotides long. RefSeq lists it as uncharacterized. The transcript is spliced from 2 exons. NCBI's taxonomy places the organism in Eukaryota, Viridiplantae, Streptophyta, Magnoliopsida, Celastrales, Celastraceae. The record is from RefSeq and is a predicted model, not a curated record.